This 256-nucleotide ribosomal RNA is filed under the name uncultured bacterium. RNAcentral's name for it is "partial 16S ribosomal RNA". It matches the Rfam family "Bacterial small subunit ribosomal RNA", at positions 521 to 776 of the family's 1533-position model. The record is from RNAcentral.
UAAUACGUAGGGUGCAAGCGUUAAUCGGAAUUACUGGGCGUAAAGCGUGCGCAGGCGGUUUUGUAAGCCAGAUGUGAAAUCCCCGGGCUUAACCUGGGAACUGCAUUUGGGACUGCAAGGCUGGAGUACGGCAGAGGGGGGUGGAAUUCCUGGUGUAGCAGUGAAAUGCGUAGAUAUCAGGAGGAACACCGAUGGCGAAGGCAGCCCCCUGGGCUAUUACUGACGCUCAUGCACGAAAGCGUGGGGAGCAAACAGG